This is a long non-coding RNA of Felis catus (domestic cat), 4905 nucleotides long. RefSeq lists it as uncharacterized. The transcript has 3 exons. The record is from RefSeq and is a predicted model, not a curated record. Lineage: Eukaryota; Metazoa; Chordata; Mammalia; Carnivora; Felidae.
UAAUGUUGAGAGACGAGGGGUAAUGGAGACUACAGAGCAGCAGGCUCUUCCAAGCUGAGGUGGAAGCUUUUGCAAAUCCCUGAACGAAGAGAAAGCUUGGUCAGAUUAGGCAAUGAUUAACACCACAAAGGUACAACAAAAUGGAGCUGCCAAGGUUGACAAGACAGAAGGCCGAAGAAGUCAGCAGAAGCGGCAUCUUAAGACAAUCAUUGUCGCAGUAAUUUAGCGUGCACCUGCAUCACCUGGAGGGCUUCUUGAAACCCAGAGCCCUGGGGCCAACCCCCAGGGUUUCUGAUUUAAUGCAUCUGGGGUGGGGCAUGAGCAUUAGGCUACAAGGUUCCAGGAGAUGCUGAUGCUGUUGGUUCCCCGGACUUUGAAAAUCACUGUUUUCAGAUCUUCGUCGUCCUCAAUGCCUUGGAUAAUGGAAAGAAAUGGAAGGCUUCUGGAGAGCUUGCGACCCGUAACUGAUUAAGAGUCCACGGCAGAAGAGACUGAUAGAACUGGAGCAGAGGUGAAGGUGUCUGGGUUUGAGGAGGCCAGAGAACCAUGGAGCAGGACACACGGAAAAAAAUGUUACCCAACCAUCUAUCACCACCGCUGACUCAGGAAAAGAACAGGCUACACGGUGGAUAGGAUCGCGGCACCAGACCGAUGCUGUCCUUGGAGCUUCACCCUGUGGAAUAGUUUAUGGGAAUGCCUUGUGUAAGGAGAUCUUUCAGAACUCUCUCGGAUUAUAUCCCACAGAGACCUACUUACACAGUGCCAAAUUGUUCUCUACAGAGAAUAGUCUGGUGGUCAAGUCCAUUUAAAUUUAAAUGGCUUACUGCAUUAUAACCCUAGACAAUGAGGGAAGUUACAUAGGCUCCUAAGUUAAAGCAAGGCCCCUGGAUGGCACCAUUUUAUUAAAACCAUGUACAGCUGCAGAUAAAUGGAGUUAACUGCACAGGCAAGAAGUCAUAAAUUGGUGCUGUAUAAUCUGAAAAACUAUAGAAAGGAAGCUAAGCUACUUUCCCAGAAGAGAUGAAAAGAAAGAAGGUCAGAAUGUCCCCCUCAGUUGCCUGGAAUACCAAAGUUCCCCAAGUGCCUGAACAUUCCAUGAAAGAAAAAUGCAGUUUAUAUCUAUGCCUCGAUCAACCAUGCCUGAGUAAAUUGCUUAUCAGUAAACUGUAGGCAACUCACAACAUGGGGAGGAGCAUCAACCAAGGAGAAGGAGUGCAUUUGGCACUCGAGAUGGGAAUGCAUCCAGGAAACGUUGGGUGGAGUUGGCUGGGAGUAACCGCCACAUAGUGGCUACCCAUGGUGAGGGAAUACCCAAGACGCUUAGGGUUCACAAAGAUUCUGGCUCCUGUGGUUUCUUUGUGAGUUGACUGCUAUGCCCUAAACCAUCAAUAAGUAAACAGCGUUCACCACAAAGCUUGUUUGUCCAGUGUCCAGCUAAGUCAAAGGAAUUAUAAGACCCCAACCACACAUAACCUACUUCAAACCUCGAAUGACUUGGAGUUCAAGGUCAAGGGAUCCACGCCACUGAUUGCCCCGCACCAUAGGGAAGGGUACUAGGCAAUAGUUGCUGUCUGCCAUGUUGCUGAGAACGUUUUUUUAGAAGAGAUUCUUCUAAAGCCAAACGUUCUAUGAGAAGCAGGCCAAGGGUAGAACCUUUGGGAGGCAUGCUGAAUAUAGCACAGAUGUCACCAGGGAUCCAAGAGCUCGGUGCAGCUGUUCAGCUUCCAUAGACACGAGUCCCCUUGGAUAUUUCUGGGCCGGCAUUAGUACCCACGUUCCGUGUGUUCCCUUAUGUCAUUGGGCUGACGUUCUUCCUGCCCUUUCUGAGAAAGUGACUGACCUGAGAGCGUGGGGCAGAAGUUCCAAAGAGCUCCGUGCCAUGCUAUCUCCUUAGAUACUUACAGUUUGUCUUCAGACGUGCACAGAACUACACAGCAACAGUGGAUCACAGUUGACCCCAGGAAAGGAAAUUACUAGACUAGGCUAAGCCUGGCCCCUUAACUCCAGUUCCAGAAAUCCAGUGGAUGACAUUAGCAUUUCUAAACCUAGAAUCGUCCUUGGGCUACUGGGAUGAAAUAGUAUGGUUGGAAAGAGUGUUAAACUGGAAUCGGACGACUUGAUUUCCUAUUUUUGCCCCUAAUUCCGUGACCUUGGCAGGUCAUGUAAACACCCUGAGCCUUCGUUCUUACAAUCUUUAAAAACGGAAGCAGGGCUGUCCCGGAUGGUGUCCGCUGUCUCCUCUAACCUCCCUCUCCAUCUUUCUCCAUCCCGCCUUCUGUCCUGGGAGGCUGGCUUGUAGGAAUUCCAUGAGUCUCUUUUGCCCUCUACCUUCUGUUUGGGGCCCUACAGUCACAGGAGGUGAUUAGAAGGAAGGAGAGUGAGAUUGGGUAUCUACCCCCUUCUCUUUCCUGCAGGGUCUCCCAAAGGACCCUUCUCUCUUGGGGCAGCCCUCUGUCCAGUCUUCUUCUCCCAGCUGCUGGUAACUUCUUCCUCAGCUGGCCCGCCGGUCUGCUGGGGUAACCAUGCCACGGUCACUAACCCUGGGGGAUCCCACCAUCCUAGCAAGCACAGGCUUGUUAGCACUGCCUAUGCUUUUUUAAAUGCCUUCAUUAAGUUUAACCCCCCUGCAAGCAGCCGAAUUUGAGAGUGCAAACUGUUUCCUGCCGGGGCCAUGACUAACACCAGUGAGCUAGAUCAGAGGCAUCUGAAUAUCACGGAGCCUUUCUGAGGUUUGAUUUGCGUUUUGACCUGAAUUUUACGGAUGCCAACUAAACCCGAGAGAAGACUGAAACCAGCUUCCGGAGCCCCAGUUAUGAGGCUCUGGAUUUUUCAAAACACCUUAGCUGUUCUCAGUGAUUGAUGCUAAAACAGGUCGACAGAAGACAUUUCAACUUCAAUGGAUAUCUUAUUAGCAAAAUUCUACUUUAUUUGCUUUAUAUGUCAGUGUCCUAUAAAAUUUUAUUCAAGAAGAAAAGAGGCUCUACUGCUCUAAAAUGUUUGAGAACCACUGGUAGAUGGCUUCUAGGUGCCUUCCAAGAUUCUAAGACUACGAAUAUCACACUUGGAGGAGUUGAGCAAGACCAAGCUUCUGGGCAAUGAACCAAGGUGACAGUCACUAGAGGCAAAAGUGUAGAGUGAACUUGACAGACUGUUUCCAUCCCUGCCCCGGCUGACGGCCACUGGAGGCCCGACACCCUGCAAAGCUGAGAGAAUCCAAUAAGUGCAAUAGGAUGCCCCUCAUUCCCUCCACUGAAGCAGUCCAUUCCUUUGCUCAUCAAGAUCUCCUAGUAAUAACAGAGCACCUACUCAUAGCCACCUAACAUUUCUUAACCUACUAUGUGUCAGGCUCUGUACUUAGACCUUCAUACUUGCUGGCGACCCAAUUACCUUAUCCAGCAGGAAAGUCCAAUCCCUAUCCCUCCCUCCACCAAAGCACCACCCCUACCAGAGCCCCCCCAACACCUCCUCCAGGAAUCUCUGGGUGCUCACUAGUGGGGGGAGGGGCUUUCCGCCAGUCCUGCCUGCUCCCAUGUCCUCCUGCUGAAACUCAGUCAAAGGUACUUCACCCCAAGCUAGACAGGGCCCUCUCUCAGGCUAUUCCUCUGAGCUCCUUCCUCUAAGGUCCAACUCUGCCCUCAGGAGGGCUGGGUGAAGACACUUAGAAUGCAGGACAGCCCCCUCAGAGACCAAGGGACACGUGGACCCUAUGCUCUUCACUAACUCAAGGCUUCAGGCAAGGCCCACCAGCCACCUACCUGGGCCACACUCUUUUCUACCCUGUUGGUAACUUUCUGGGAGAGUGUUCUGAAUUUCAGUCCUUGGGGACAAGGGUUUAGGGUUUUGGUCCCUAAGGUCCAGUGCUCUUUAUGCAAGUUGUUAAAGGUGCAUCCAGCUCUCUGCUUUCCAAAGGGGUAGGGGAUGGGGGGAAGCCAGUGGAAUGAUCCCAACCCUGCCCCCCACUCUCGGUAGUAGGUCAAGUCUCCUCCAAAGUGAUGUUUGCUGGCCAAGGGUUUAGGGCCUGAAUCACUAAGCAUUGCCAACUAUACACAUCCUGUUGACUCAUCGCUAUCAUCCCCGUGCUACAGCUGAGGAAGCAGAAGCCCAGGGAAGGGGUGGGCCUGCCCAAGAUCACCCAGUGAGGUCAGCUGAGUUCCAAAACUGAAGUCUGGGCCACAAGGAGGUUCCAUACUCUAGGCAACUCUCCUUUGUCCCUUCAGCUUGGCUGCAAUAAUUGAGUAACAGUGAUGAUUGAGCCUCUGAGGCUGCACUAUGGGGGGGGCCCUGGCCCGACACCCAGGAAAAAGGCUUAUCUGCCUCUUCUGCUUCUAGGGCAAAAGAAAAUGCAAACAAUUACUCCUACUUCUAAUUUCUAUCGUGAGCAGAAAUCUCUCGAAUAAAUCCUAGUGCUCUGACUUUAAAUUAAUCUCGUUAUUGUCAGGAUACCAGACUCUAAAAUAGAGCACUUAGGGAGCCAGGGGUAAUUUUAGAAUCACAGUGAAUUACAGAGCAAACAGAGGCUCAAAGUCAGAGUAAGGCAAAUGUCUCUGAUGAAUGAGUUAGCAAAAAAAUUUGUUCCACUUCAGUUCAAACCCCUGAAGUCAGACUACGCCGUUUUUAGAAUAUGCAGAGGUUCUGCUAGGUUCAGCUCAAGUUCAGUGGUGUAAAAGAAGACGCACACUCCAUUGUCGUUGCAGUACGGAGAAGGAGCUCGGGCUUUGGAGGCAAGAAAAGGACUGCAAUCCCACUGCUGCCUUGGGCAUAUGACUUAACUUCUCCAAGGCUCAGAAUCUCAUCCAUAUAAUAGAGACAACAGUACCAACUUUGCAUGAAGAGCCAAAGAGGUAAUAAAUGCCCAGCCUCAGACUAAUCCUGCCACAUUGAAUAAACUUUCAAUAUUUAAAUGAA